CAGAGUUUUCUAAAUUCCCAACCCUAUGUGAACUUACCUUUGUUGCCUCGGCGGGGCCUACCCGGUACCGAUCCCUUUUGGGAGAGACUACCCUGUAGCCUGCCGGUGGAUUUUCAAACUCUUGUUAUUUUAAUGAUAUCUGAGCGUCUUAUUUUAAUAAGUCA
Molecule: unclassified non-coding RNA, 164 nt
Filed under: uncultured Ascomycota
Lineage: Eukaryota; Fungi; Ascomycota
Description: sequence contains ITS1
Source: RNAcentral